This 529-nucleotide ribosomal RNA is filed under the name uncultured bacterium. RNAcentral describes it as "bacterial SSU rRNA". It matches the Rfam family "Bacterial small subunit ribosomal RNA", at positions 352 to 883 of the family's 1533-position model. The record is from RNAcentral.
CAGUGAGGAAUAUUGGACAAUGGGCGCAAGCCUGAUCCAGCCAUGCCGCGUGCAGGAUGACGGUCCUAUGGAUUGUAAACUGCUUUUAUACGAGAAGAAACACUCCGACGUGUCGGAGCUUGACGGUAUCGUAAGAAUAAGGAUCGGCUAACUCCGUGCCAGCAGCCGCGGUAAUACGGAGGAUCCAAGCGUUAUCCGGAAUCAUUGGGUUUAAAGGGUCCGUAGGCGGUUUAAUAAGUCAGUGGUGAAAGCCCAUCGCUCAACGGUGGAACGGCCAUUGAUACUGUUAAACUUGAAUUAUUAGGAAGUAACUAGAAUAUGUAGUGUAGCGGUGAAAUGCUUAGAGAUUACAUGGAAUACCAAUUGCGAAGGCAGGUUACUACUAAUGGAUUGACGCUGAUGGACGAAAGCGUGGGUAGCGAACAGGAUUAGAUACCCUGGUAGUCCACGCCGUAAACGAUGGAUACUAGCUGUUGGAAGCAAUUUCAGUGGCUAAGCGAAAGUGAUAAGUAUCCCACCUGGGGAGUAC